AGGAAGUCAUCAUCUUGUCUUCCUGUAAGAUAGGAAGUCAUCAAUCUGACGAUCGAGUGAGAUCGUCCUGUCCCAUAGCAUCGCGGCAUUGGAUUUGGAGGCUACUGGGGGUACAUGAGACAUUACAGGAGGGCUGUAGAAGAAAGCCCCCACCUUGCUGAAACUGAUCCCGUGUGAAUCUCGGCCCUGCCACUGCGAAUCAAAAACGUAAUGUAACAACAGCACGCCUCGUUUAUUUCAAUUCCGGCCCUGAGGAGCCACCAGAAUGGACGGCACUAAUAAAGAAAACUCGCCAGCCCUCCCAGUGGGCUGGCAAAGUAACAAUGGCUCGUUCCAACGACGGCUGACGGGUCGCAAGCAGAGUUACCGAUCUGUGGCAUCACGUGACAGAGAUGCGGGCUUUUCUCUUCAUGCUUGUCACCUGAGGCAAUGGCUCCUACAGCUCUGGACACCGCAUUAACAAUUGAGGCAAGAAAAAGCUAGACUUCUCGCCCUUUCCCCAUCAGAUGUGCACUCACUCCUAGUUGGACAAGACUGUGUCAUGUGGCCACUCGUAUCUUCUCAGGAUCUGGGAAAUGGAAACAUGUCCCUUAAUUGGGGGACACAUCAACAAUUGGGGCACAAAAAAAUAAUUUGUUUCCCAAAUAAAAUUGCAGUUAAUGGACGUCCA
This 670-nucleotide long non-coding RNA is filed under the name Felis catus (domestic cat). Its description in RNAcentral is "lncRNA (ENSFCAG00000048849.1)". The record is from RNAcentral. Lineage: Eukaryota; Metazoa; Chordata; Mammalia; Carnivora; Felidae.